UGCGUAGGCGGCACCACAAGUCAGGCGUGAAAUCUAUGGGCUCAACCCAUAAACUGCGCUUGAAACUGUGGUACUUGAGUGAAGUAGAGGCAGGCGGAAUUCCCGGUGUAGCGGUGAAAUGCGUAGAGAUCGGGAGGAACACCAGUGGCGAAGGCGGCCUGCUGGGCUUUAACUGACGCUGAGGCACGAAAGCGUGGGUAGCAAACA
This is a ribosomal RNA of 207 nucleotides. It matches the Rfam family "Bacterial small subunit ribosomal RNA", at positions 568 to 774 of the family's 1533-position model.